UUUAUUUUUAAUUUGGUUCUAUUUUAAAAAGAAACAAGUACACGUAAUUUUUCAUUUUUUGAAAAAUGCUAUCUAUCUAAAAAAUGUUUAAUAUAUAAUUGGUCACACUAAUAGUAAUAAUAAGACAUAAGACCCCGCAUAUCAAUCAGUCGGUUAAAAUUAGUCAUUUGUUUGUCGGGAACAGCGGGACAGUAGCAUUACCC
Molecule: long non-coding RNA, 203 nt
Filed under: Daucus carota (carrot)
Lineage: Eukaryota; Viridiplantae; Streptophyta; Magnoliopsida; Apiales; Apiaceae
Description: long non-coding RNA (DCAR_LNC002414)
Source: RNAcentral